GCCUCCAACCAUCCAAUUUCGAACCCUAAUUUCUCAUAGAGAACAACAAUCAAUCCCAAAAAUGUUGAGACACGCUGCUAAGAGAAUCACAGGGUCAGGAUUAGCCCCGAGACGGUGGUCUUCACCGGCGGCGAACCGGUUUUAUCACGAGAGGGUUGUCAACAGAGAAGAGUUCUCCAUGGAAGGGUAAGUGUUCCAGUUAUGUUCUUGCAGAGACGGUGAUGACAGUGCACAAGCCAUCAAUGCACACACGGUCACCAACUUUGGUGAUAAAUUUGGUAUGAUUUUUGCACCAAGAUUAAUUAUAUUUUUUCUUGACAUGUUGGUUUUACAUGAAGCAUAAGUUAUUAGUAUUAAUUUUUCAUUUAAUUGAAACAUUACUAAGUGUAUCUUUGUUUAUGUGUUAUAUCUAUUAUCUAUCUAUUAUGUAUGAUAAUAAUAAUAAAAACAAUUUGGAGUUGUGGCGUGGGUUGCAGCCAAUUACAAAUCCGGCCAUUGGACCUUAGUAUGUACACGUAUUGUAGAAUUCAAAUCGUGUUUGUAUUCUUGUAGUAAAAAUAAAUGAAUUGUGGUCUCUCUAUGAAUUGUGGUCUCUCUCUAUAAACACAUCACUAUACCCAGUUUACAAAUCGGCUAAUUAACGAAGAGCUUUUCCCCUUUGGGGUCCCGAGCCGAGGUGCAAGAGCAUGUCCCUUUUCUAACAUGAGGCACAAGAGCAUGUCGCUACUCUGACGUGAGGCGCAAGAAUAACUGAAGAGCUGCACUGAAAAUCUUAGUGCCUUACCUGGCCUGAUUGUAGGUGCUGCUGUUGAAGGAGUUACUUAUUUCGUUCAUGUAAUAAAAGAUGAAGUUGAAGAUCUGAAAACAUGCCGACGACCAUGUUCCAUAUCGUUAUCGAAGAAGGUGGUUCUUGAUUUUCUUGAUUUACCAGCCAACUCGCAGUUCAAUUAUGGUGGUGAAAGUCGGUGCACUGGUGAAUUGGAGAAGAUGGGAACACUUGCAAAUGUGUUCAUUGGGAUAAUAGUGUACCCAGCAAUGGCUAUCUACAUUCUCUCCGUGAUCUAUCUUAUGUUUCACACCGAUGUUGUGGUCACAUUCCUUGAACCGAAAAAGGUUGAUCCGAAUGCACAAAUUUGGUUGGAAAAUGAACAAUAUGGUGUUGAUAGAGAAGAUCUUGCUCAUACCCCAUCGCUAGAAUAGUGAAACUAACCAAAAUCUUUAAGGCGGAGACUUUUAAUUUGCAAUUGUAUUCUGAAUAAGUGUUCAGUUUGGAUAUAGCGUAAGCGUUUCCUUACCCAAAUUUUCGUUCUUUUAAUAUAUUAGGUUUUUGUAAUUUUAUUGUUCAUGUUUUGCACAAGAAUGGAAUAUAAAUGU
Long non-coding RNA from Helianthus annuus (common sunflower), 1374 nucleotides. RefSeq lists it as uncharacterized. The transcript is spliced from 4 exons. Lineage: Eukaryota; Viridiplantae; Streptophyta; Magnoliopsida; Asterales; Asteraceae. The record is from RefSeq and is a predicted model, not a curated record.